This 467-nucleotide ribosomal RNA is filed under the name uncultured bacterium. Its description in RNAcentral is "partial 16S ribosomal RNA". It matches the Rfam family "Bacterial small subunit ribosomal RNA", at positions 28 to 507 of the family's 1533-position model. The record is from RNAcentral.
GACGAACGCUGGCGGCGUGCUUAACACAUGCAAGUCGAACGGAAAGGCCCUGCUUUUGUGGGGUGCUCGAGUGGCGAACGGGUGAGUAACACGUGAGUAACCUGCCCUUGACUUUGGGAUAACUUCAGGAAACUGGGGCUAAUACCGGAUAGGAGCUCCUGCUGCAUGGUGGGGGUUGGAAAGUUUCGGCGGUUGGGGAUGGACUCGCGGCUUAUCAGCUUGUUGGUGGGGUAGUGGCUUACCAAGGCUUUGACGGGUAGCCGGCCUGAGAGGGUGACCGGCCACAUUGGGACUGAGAUACGGCCCAGACUCCUACGGGAGGCAGCAGUGGGGAAUAUUGCACAAUGGGCGGAAGCCUGAUGCAGCAACGCCGCGUGCGGGAUGACGGCCUUCGGGUUGUAAACCGCUUUCGCCUGUGACGAAGCAUGAGUGACGGUAUGGGUAAAGAAGCACCGGCUAACUACGUG